This 253-nucleotide ribosomal RNA is filed under the name uncultured bacterium. Its description in RNAcentral is "partial 16S ribosomal RNA". It matches the Rfam family "Bacterial small subunit ribosomal RNA", at positions 524 to 776 of the family's 1533-position model. The record is from RNAcentral.
UACAGAGGGUGCGAGCGUUGUCCGGAAUCACUGGGCGUAAAGGGCGCGUAGGUGGCGCCCCCAGUCAGUGGUGAAAGCUCGAUGCUCAACAUCGAGUCGGCCACUGAGACUGGGGGGCUCGAGCACUGUAGAGGCAGAUGGAAUUCCGGGUGUAGCGGUGGAAUGCGUAGAGAUCCGGAAGAACACCGGUGGCGAAGGCGGUCUGCUGGGCAGUUGCUGACACUGAGGCGCGACAGCGUGGGGAGCAAACAGG